Molecule: ribosomal RNA, 414 nt
Filed under: Tritia corniculum
Lineage: Eukaryota; Metazoa; Mollusca; Gastropoda; Neogastropoda; Nassariidae
Description: partial 16S ribosomal RNA
Rfam family: Bacterial large subunit ribosomal RNA
Source: RNAcentral
CUGACCGUGCAAAGGUAGCAUAAUCAUUUGCCUUAUAAUUGAAGGCUAGUAUGAAUGGUUUGACAUGAAUGUAGCUGUCUCUUUAUAAUUUAAUAGAAUUUUAUCUUCAGGUGAAGAAGCCUGAAUUUAAUUAAAAGACAAGAAGACCCUAUCGAGCUUGAAAAGAAUUGAUGGAAUCAAAAAUUAAUACAACUAAAAAAUUAUCUAUCACAAAUUUUAGUUGGGGCGACUGAGGAACAUAAAAAGCUUCCUUUAGAAUAUUAGUUUAAGUCAAACUAGAAUUGAUCCAGAAUAUUUUGAUUAAAGGAAUUAGUUACCGUAGGGAUAACAGCAUUAUCUUUUUUAAGAGCUCAUAUCGAAAAAAAGGUUUGUGACCUCGAUGUUGGACCAGAAUAUCCUAAAGGUGUAGCAGCC